AGCACAAUCAACAAGCCAGGGUCUGGGCCGGGUGUGGGGAUUCAGUAAGAAGCAAGACUGGCUUGGUCCUUCAGGACACAGACGGUUCAGGGGACAAGUACUUACAACUGCAAUGAAUGUUGUGAGUGGACAAAAAGAAGCCCCGCCAUCCCUUGAGGCUACUCCAGCAGUGUAGUUUAGAGGAUCAGGGACUCUGAGACCACCAGGGUGUCCAUUGCUGAAGAAAUGCAUGAGAAGAAUGUGGUGAAUUCUCACCAUGAAAAAACAUUGUGCAUGGUUAUAAGCAACUAUUACAGACUAUUGAAUAUACUUUGGUGCUAAGAGAAGAAAGAAGAAGAAGAAAAAAAAAAAAGACUGAGAGCUACAGCACGGAAUUAGUCAUGUUAAUUAAAAGCAUAUAUACACAGAAUA
Molecule: non-coding RNA, 411 nt
Organism: Macaca mulatta (Rhesus monkey)
Lineage: Eukaryota; Metazoa; Chordata; Mammalia; Primates; Cercopithecidae
Source: RefSeq, a predicted model, not a curated record